Molecule: non-coding RNA, 134 nt
Organism: Triticum aestivum (bread wheat)
Lineage: Eukaryota; Viridiplantae; Streptophyta; Magnoliopsida; Poales; Poaceae
Source: Rfam
UAUGUACUCCCUCCGUCCGAAAAUACUGGUCAUCAAAAUUAAUAAAAGGGGAUGCAUCUAGACGUAUUUUAGUUCUAGAUACAUCUGUUUUCUUCAUUUUGAUGACAAGUAUUUUCAGACGGAGGAAGUAUGAU